AACGAACGCUGGCGGCAUGCCUAACACAUGCAAGUCGAACGAGACCUUCGGGUCUAGUGGCGCACGGGUGCGUAACGCGUGGGAACCUGCCCUUAGGUUCGGAAUAACUCCCCGAAAGGGGUGCUAAUACCGGAUAAUGUCUUCGGACCAAAGAUUUAUCGCCUUUGGAUGGGCCCGCGUUGGAUUAGCUAGUUGGUAGGGUAAAAGCCUACCAAGGCGACGAUCCAUAGCUGGUCUGAGAGGAUGAUCAGCCACACUGGGACUGAGACACGGCCCAGACUCCUACGGGAGGGAGCAGUGGGGAAUAUUGGACAAUGGGGGAAAGCCUGAUCCAGCAAUGCCGGGUGAGUGAUGAAGGCCGUAGGGUUGUAAAGCUCUUUUACCCGGGAUGAUAAUGACGGUACCGGGAGAAUAAGCCCCGGCUAACUCCGUG
This 433-nucleotide ribosomal RNA is filed under the name uncultured bacterium. Its description in RNAcentral is "partial 16S ribosomal RNA". It matches the Rfam family "Bacterial small subunit ribosomal RNA", at positions 29 to 507 of the family's 1533-position model. The record is from RNAcentral.